Non-coding RNA from Oncorhynchus gorbuscha (pink salmon), 132 nucleotides. NCBI's taxonomy places the organism in Eukaryota, Metazoa, Chordata, Actinopteri, Salmoniformes, Salmonidae. The record is from RefSeq and is a predicted model, not a curated record.
GUGGUGGUCAGUGUAAUGACUACUGUACUGGUCAGUGUACUGUAGUCUCUAAGACCCACCACAGAGUGAGACUGGUACCUGCCGACAGGGACUGAGAGAUAUCGGUCUCCCUGUGCGAUGGUUCUAUACAAA